GAAUAUUGGACAAUGGGGGGAACCCUGCUCCCGCCAUGCCGCGUGUGUGAAGAAGGCCUUUUGGUUGUAAAGCACUUUAAGCGAGGAGGAGGAGCGCUUGGUUAAUACCCCAGAUGCUUGGACGUUACCCGCAGACUAAGCACCCGCUAACUACGGCCCAGCGGCCGCGGUAAUACGUAGGGUGCACGCGUUAAUCGGAAGUACUGGGCGUAAAGCGUGCGCAGGCGGGUUGGAAAGAAGGAUGUGAAAUCCCAGGGCUUAACCUUGGAACUGCAUUCUUAACUGCCAGGCUAGAGUAUGUCAGAGGGGGGUAGAAUUCCGCGUGUAGCAGUGAAAUGCGUAGAGAUGCGGAGGAAUACCGAUGGCGAAGGCAGCCCCCUGGGAUAAUACUGACGCUCAUGCACGAAAGCGUGGGGAGCAAACAG
RNAcentral lists this ribosomal RNA (425 nucleotides) under uncultured bacterium. RNAcentral describes it as "partial 16S ribosomal RNA". It matches the Rfam family "Bacterial small subunit ribosomal RNA", at positions 359 to 775 of the family's 1533-position model. The record is from RNAcentral.